This 448-nucleotide ribosomal RNA is filed under the name uncultured bacterium. Its description in RNAcentral is "bacterial SSU rRNA". It matches the Rfam family "Bacterial small subunit ribosomal RNA", at positions 328 to 792 of the family's 1533-position model. The record is from RNAcentral.
UUGCCAGACUCCUACGGGAGGCAGCAGUGGGGAAUAUUGGGCAAUGGGCGCAAGCCUGACCCAGCAACGCCGCGUGAAGGAAGAAGGCUUUCGGGUUGUAAACUUCUUUUAAGAGGGAAGAGAAGAAGACGGUACCUCUUGAAUAAGCCACGGCUAACUACGUGCCAGCAGCCGCGGUAAUACGUAGGUGGCAAGCGUUGUCCGGAUUUACUGGGUUUAAAGGGUGCGCAGGCGGCACGGCAAGCCGGCGGGCAAAUCGCGGGGCUCAACCCCGCCCAGCCGUCGGAACUGCCGGGCUAGAGUGGGCGAGAAGUGCGCGGAAUGCGUGGUGUAGCGGUGAAAUGCAUAGAUAUCACGCAGAACUCCGAUUGCGAAGGCAGCGCACCGGCGCCCUACUGACGCUCAGGCACGAAAGCGUGGGUAUCGAACAGGAUUAGAUACCCUCGUA